GAUGAACGCUGACAGAAUGCUUAACACAUGCAAGUCGAUGGGGAAGUGGUGCUUGCACCAUGGCAACCAUGGCGGACGGGUGAGUAACGCGUAAGGGACUUACCUGCAGGACUGGGAUAACAGGGGGAAACUCCUGACAAGACCGGAUAAUGUCAUGGAGCUGCAUGGCUUUAUGAUGAAAGGAGACGCCUGCGGAGAGCCUUGCGUCCUAUUAGCUAGUUGGUGAGGUAAUGGCUCACCAAGGCGAAGAUAGGUAGCCGGCCUGAGAGGGUGGACGGCCACAAGGGGACUGAGAUACGGCCCUUACUCCUACGGGAGGCGGCAGUGGGGAAUAUUGGACAAGGGGGGCAACCCUGAUCCAGCAAUUCUGUGUGCACGAAGAAGGUUUUCGGAGUGUAAAGUGCUUUCAGCAGGGAAGAAGUAAGUGACGGUACCUGCAGAAGAAGCGACGGCUAAAUACGUG
RNAcentral lists this ribosomal RNA (463 nucleotides) under uncultured bacterium. RNAcentral describes it as "partial 16S ribosomal RNA". It matches the Rfam family "Bacterial small subunit ribosomal RNA", at positions 28 to 507 of the family's 1533-position model. The record is from RNAcentral.